UGUGGACAGUAUGGGAGUGAGAAUGUUGGCAUGAGUAGCGAGAUGUGGGUGAGAAUCCCACAGGCCGUAAACCCAAGGUUUCCAGGGGAAGGUUCGUCCGCCCUGGGUUAGUCGGGACCUAAGCUGAGGCCGAAAGGCGUAGGUGAUGGACAACAGGUUGAUAUUCCUGUACUACCGAUAACCAUUUGAGAGAAGGGAUGACACAGUAGGAUAAGCUAAGCACACUGUUGGUUAUGUGUGCCCAAGCAUUGAGGCAGUCAAAGUAGGCAAAUCCGCUUUGAUAAUGCUGGGAUGGGAUGGGGAGCGAAAUUUAGUAGUGAAGUAGCUGAUUUCACACUGUCAAGAAAAGUCUCUAUCGAGGUUAAAGGUACCCGUACCGCAAACCGACACAGGUGGGUGAGGAGAGUAUCCUAAGGCCAGCGAGAGAACUGUUGUUAAGGAACUCGGCAAAAUGACCCCGUAACUUAGGGAUAAGGGGUGCCACCAUCAGGUGGCCGCAGAGAAUAGGCCCAAGCGACUGUUUACCAAAAACAUAGGUUUCUGCUAAGUCGGAAGACGUUUUAUAGGAGCUGACGCCUGCCCGGUGCUGGAAGGUUAAGGGGAUCUGUUAGAGCAAUCGAAGCAGUGAACUUAAGCCCCAGUAAACGGCGGCCGUAACUAUAACGGUCCUAAGGUAGCGAAAUUCCUUGUCGGGUAAGUUCCGACCCGCACGAAAGGCGUAACGAUUUGGGCACUGUCUCAACAACAGACUCGGUGAAAUUGUAAUUCCGGUGAAGAUGCCGGAUACCUGCGACAGGACGGAAAGACCCCAUGGAGCUUUACUGUAGCUUGACAUUGGGUCUUGGUACUACAUGUACAGGAUAGGUGGGAGGCUUUGAAACCAGGACGCCAGUUUUGGCGGAGCCAUCCUUGGGAUACCACCCUUGUAGUACUGGGACUCUAACCAUAG
RNAcentral lists this ribosomal RNA (949 nucleotides) under Clostridioides difficile. RNAcentral describes it as "bacterial LSU rRNA". It matches the Rfam family "Bacterial large subunit ribosomal RNA", at positions 1272 to 2231 of the family's 2925-position model. The record is from RNAcentral. Lineage: Bacteria; Bacillati; Bacillota; Clostridia; Peptostreptococcales; Peptostreptococcaceae.